GCUGGGUGGAUUAGUGGCGAACGGGUGAGUAACACGUGAGCAACCUGCCCCUGACUCUGGGAUAAGCGCUGGAAACGGCGUCUAAUACUGGAUACGAACAAGAAUCGCAUGGUUACUGGUUGGAAAGAUUUUUCGGUUGGGGAUGGGCUCGCGGCCUAUCAGCUUGUUGGUGAGGUAAUGGCUCACCAAGGCGUCGACGGGUAGCCGGCCUGAGAGGGUGACCGGCCACACUGGGACUGAGACACGGCCCAGACUCCUACGGGAGGCAGCAGUGGGGAAUAUUGCACAAUGGGCGCAAGCCUGAUGCAGCAACGCCGCGUGAGGGAUGACGGCCUUCGGGUUGUAAACCUCUUUUAGCAGGGAAGAAGCGAGAGUGACGGUACCUGCAGAAAAAGCACCGGCUAACUACGUGCCAGCAGCCGCGGUAAUACGUAGGGUGCAAGCGUUAUCCGGAAUUAUUGGGCGUAAAGAGCUCGUAGGCGGUUUGUCGCGUCUGCUGUGAAAUCUGGGGGCUCAACCCCCAGCCUGCAGUGGGUACGGGCAGACUAGAGUGCGGUAGGGGAGAUUGGAAUUCCUGGUGUAGCGGUGGAAUGCGCAGAUAUCAGGAGGAACACCGAUGGCGAAGGCAGAUCUCUGGGCCGUAACUGACGCUGAGGAGCGAAAGGGUGGGGAGCAAACAGGCUUAGAUACCCUGGUAGUCCACCCCGUAAACGUUGGGAACUAGUUGUGGGGUCCAUUCCACGGAUUCCGUGACGCAGCUAACGCAUUAAGUUCCCCGCCUGGGGAGUACGGCCGCAAGGCUAAAACUCAAAGGAAUUGACGGGGACCCGCACAAGCGGCGGAGCAUGCGGAUUAAUUCGAUGCAACGCGAAGAACCUUACCAAGGCUUGACAUAUACGAGAACGGGCCAGAAAUGGUCAACUCUUUGGACACUCGUAAACAGGUGGUGCAUGGUUGUCGUCAGCUCGUGUCGUGAGAUGUUGGGUUAAGUCCCGCAACGAGCGCAACCCUCGUUCUAUGUUGCCAGCACGUAAUGGUGGGAACUCAUGGGAUACUGCCGGGGUCAACUCGGAGGAAGGUGGGGAUGACGUCAAAUCAUCAUGCCCCUUAUGUCUUGGGCUUCACGCAUGCUACAAUGGCCGGUACAAUGGGCUGCAAUACCGUGAGGUGGAGCGAAUCCCAAAAAGCCGGUCCCAGUUCGGAUUGAGGUCUGCAACUCGACCUCAUGAAGUCGGAGUCGCUAGUAAUCGCAGAUCAGCAACGCUGCGGUGAAUACGUUCCCGGGUCUUGUACACACCGCCCGUCAAGUCAUGAAAGUCGGUAACACCUGAAGCCGGUGG
Molecule: ribosomal RNA, 1340 nt
Filed under: Microbacterium sp.
Lineage: Bacteria; Bacillati; Actinomycetota; Actinomycetes; Micrococcales; Microbacteriaceae
Description: bacterial SSU rRNA
Rfam family: Bacterial small subunit ribosomal RNA
Source: RNAcentral